This 445-nucleotide long non-coding RNA is filed under the name Trifolium pratense (red clover). RNAcentral's name for it is "long non-coding RNA (TPRA_LNC011529)". The record is from RNAcentral. Lineage: Eukaryota; Viridiplantae; Streptophyta; Magnoliopsida; Fabales; Fabaceae.
AUUUCUCUUAUCCUCAUAAUGAUAUAUAUCACAAACAAACUAUAUAUUUACAUGAAGAAAUAAAAUCACUCAUAGAGAUCUGCGAAACAAAUCACAACAACAACCCCAUGAAAUGAUGAAGAAACUUUAGCGCUACGAGAGAUGAGUCAAGAAUGUGUUUUAAUUGAAGUUCGUGAUUUAUCACAUACAAGAGAUUUGUAAUUUUUUUCUUCUGAAGGGUUCUUGCAACAAUUCAAUAUGAAGAUAACGUCGCAAGACUGCUAAUUCGCGGAGUAACAUAAAAGGAAGAUAGAGCAAAUUUUCUACAAGUCAUCGCCAAGUAAACUUUUGAACAACUACUACAGAAGAUUAUUUGAUUUUCUUCAUCUCAUAUAUAAUUGUUUUUAUGAGGGGGAGACAUAAAUAUGUUCUGCACUCUUUUUCCCUUCACCAUGGUUUUGUCCNN